This is a long non-coding RNA of Nerophis ophidion (straightnose pipefish), 822 nucleotides long. RefSeq lists it as uncharacterized. The record is from RefSeq and is a predicted model, not a curated record. NCBI's taxonomy places the organism in Eukaryota, Metazoa, Chordata, Actinopteri, Syngnathiformes, Syngnathidae. The transcript has 2 exons.
GGGGGGGGGUGAUGGUCGAGAGACUGAAGGAGAGAGAGAGUCGCCAUGAGGAGGAAGGAGGAGAUUCUACGUCAAAGGGGAACAAAUGCAUGACCAAGUGUCAAAUUAGAGUGAGAGUCCACGCAAACAGCAGUGGAUCCACCUUGUGUCUCUUCUGCGCGCACCUUUGGAGGAGCAGAAGAGAAGCUGGACGGUGGCCGGGAAGUGAGCCCUCAAGAUGAACCGUGUCUUGUUCCGUCCUGUGGAGAACAAGUUGAGCCUGCAACCCUCGGCGUGCUGCUAACUCUACUUUUCUUCACGACUCUAGGGCUGUGGUUCUAAACCUUUUUCCAGUGAUGUACCCCCUGUGACCAUUGUUUUAAUUCAAGUACCCCCUAAUCAGAGCAAAGCAUUUUUGGUUGAAAAAAAGAGACAAAGAAGUAAAAUACUGUCAUGAGGGCAGUUCUCCUGCCUUAUUUUCCCUCUUGUUUUCAUACCCCCCCUCUUGUGUCUGUAAGUCUCCUACCUGGUCAUCAAUUGCAGGCGUGCUGCCAGUUAUCCGAGCCCACCUGCUUGUAAUCAACCACCUGACUUAAACCCUGGAUCUCCACCCAGCCAGUGCCAGUUUGUCCGUUGCCUGCGGUACAAUCCAGCCCGUGCUCACUUACUCUGACCUCUGACCUUUGCCCCGAAUCAUUUGUAAUUCCUGCACUUUUGUAUUUCCUCAGAAGGUGGACAGACUUUUGGCCCGGUUUUCCUGGAGCUGAUUUUUCGUUACUACAGAUUUAUUUUCUCCAGUGAUUUUUUUGUUAUUAAAUAUAGAUUUUUUUUUACUGAUCUGCA